UAGGGAAUCUUCGGCAAUGGACGAAAGUCUGACCGAGCAACGCCGCGUGAGUGAAGAAGGUUUUCGGAUCGUAAAACUCUGUUGUUAGAGAAGAACAAGGAUGAGAGUAACUGUUCAUCCCUUGACGGUAUCUAACCAGAAAGCCACGGCUAACUACGUACCAG
RNAcentral lists this ribosomal RNA (164 nucleotides) under uncultured bacterium. RNAcentral's name for it is "partial 16S ribosomal RNA". It matches the Rfam family "Bacterial small subunit ribosomal RNA", at positions 355 to 511 of the family's 1533-position model. The record is from RNAcentral.